GACGUAGGAUGCGAGCGUUGUCCGGAUUUAUUGGGCGUAAAGAGUUCGUAGGUGGUUUGUUAAGUCUGGUGUUAAAUCCCGAGGCUCAACCUCGGAGGUGCAUUGGAUACUGGCAGACUUGAGUACAGUAGAGGCAAGCGGAAUUCCCAGUGUAGCGGUGAAAUGCGUAGAUAUUGGGAAGAACACCAGUGGCGUAAGCGGCUUGCUGGACUGUAACUGACACUGAGGAACGAAAGCCAGGGGAGCGAAUGGG
Molecule: ribosomal RNA, 253 nt
Filed under: uncultured bacterium
Lineage: Bacteria
Description: partial 16S ribosomal RNA
Rfam family: Bacterial small subunit ribosomal RNA
Source: RNAcentral